AAGGGUGGAUGGAGCUCUUAAUGUCUCUUGAAAUCUGCUCAACCACUUUCUUUUGACUCUUUGAAUGAAGCACUUGGAUGAAGAAGAUUAGGGCACUUGUCUUUCUUGUGUAAGCUUUGAUAUUUUGCAAAAAGAUGUUUUCUCUGAUGAAUAGUAUCCCUUUAAAUAGUUUUCCUCAUCCAUUGGACACCCCCCAUUGGUAAGAUUUCAAAAACUAGCCGUUACUUGCUGUUGAGAGGAC
RNAcentral lists this long non-coding RNA (241 nucleotides) under Phoenix dactylifera (date palm). RNAcentral describes it as "long non-coding RNA (PDAC_LNC010435)". The record is from RNAcentral. Lineage: Eukaryota; Viridiplantae; Streptophyta; Magnoliopsida; Arecales; Arecaceae.